RNAcentral lists this ribosomal RNA (1007 nucleotides) under Harringtonia lauricola. Its description in RNAcentral is "SSU rRNA". It matches the Rfam family "Eukaryotic small subunit ribosomal RNA", at positions 87 to 1103 of the family's 1831-position model. Lineage: Eukaryota; Fungi; Ascomycota; Sordariomycetes; Ophiostomatales; Ophiostomataceae. The record is from RNAcentral.
CUGCGAAUGGCUCAUUAAAUCAGUUAUCGUCUAUUUGAUAGUACCUUACUACUUGGAUAACCGUGGUAAUUCUAGAGCUAAUACAUGCUGAAAACCCCGACUUCGGAAGGGAUGUAUUUAUUAGAUUAAAAACCAAUGCCCUCCGGGGCUCCCUGGUGAUUCAUGAUAACUUCUCGAAUCGCACGGCCUUGCGCCGGCGAUGGUUCAUUCAAAUUUCUGCCCUAUCAACUUUCGACGGCUGGGUCUUGGCCAGCCAUGGUGACAACGGGUAACGGAGGGUUAGGGCUCGACCCCGGAGAAGGAGCCUGAGAAACGGCUACUACAUCUAAGGAAGGCAGCAGGCGCGCAAAUUACCCAAUCCCGACGCGGGGAGGUAGUGACAAUAAAUACUGAUACAGGGCUCUUUAGGGUCGUGUAAUUGGAAUGAGUACAGUUUAAUUCCCUUAACGAGGAACAAUUGGAGGGCAAGUCUGGUGCCAGCAGCCGCGGUAAUUCCAGCUCCAAUAGCGUAUAUUAAAGUUGUUGCAGUUAAAAAGCUCGUAGUUGAACCUUGGGCCUGGCUGGCCGGUCCGCCUCACCGCGUGCACUGGUCCGGCCGGGCCUUUCCCUCUGGGGAGCCGCAUGCCCUUCACUGGGCGUGCCGGGGAACCAGGACGUUUACUUUGAAAAAAUUAGAGUGUUCAAAGCAGGCUUAUGCUCGGAUACAUUAGCAUGGAAUAAUGGAAUAGGACGUGCGGUUCUAUUUUGUUGGUUUCUAGGACCGCCGUAAUGAUUAAUAGGGACAGUCGGGGGCAUCAGUAUUCAAUUGUCAGAGGUGAAAUUCUUGGAUUUAUUGAAGACUAACUACUGCGAAAGCAUUUGCCAAGGAUGUUUUCAUUAAUCAGGAACGAAAGUUAGGGGAUCGAAGACGAUCAGAUACCGUCGUAGUCUUAACCAUAAACUAUGCCGACUAGGGAUCGGACGCUGUUGUCUUUUGACGCGUUCGGCACCUUACACGAAAGUACAAG